GGCCCCGUAGCUCAAAUUGGAUAGAGCAGAGGUUUCCUAAACCUUUGGUUGGACGUUCGACUCGUCUCGGGGCCA
This 75-nucleotide transfer RNA is filed under the name Deltaproteobacteria bacterium GWA2_38_16. RNAcentral's name for it is "tRNA-Arg". It matches the Rfam family "tRNA". Rfam says of the family: Transfer RNA (tRNA) molecules are approximately 80 nucleotides in length. Their secondary structure includes four short double-helical elements and three loops (D, anti-codon, and T loops). RNAcentral also lists the same sequence under 4 other names. Lineage: Bacteria; Deltaproteobacteria. The record is from RNAcentral.